UCACUGUCAGCUACUGGAGCCGCGAGAGG
Molecule: small RNA, 29 nt
Filed under: Bombyx mori (domestic silkworm)
Lineage: Eukaryota; Metazoa; Arthropoda; Insecta; Lepidoptera; Bombycidae
Description: ovarian small RNA-25466
Source: RNAcentral